CUCGAUUAAUUGCAAAGGCCUGAAUAAUCCAGCUAAGAGGCACCGGGUCCUCAGAUGGGCCAACAGGACUGGGGCGGAUGUCAUCCUUCUCCAGGAAACACAUUUUGAGCAUACUAGGGCCUUCCCUUUGCGCAAUAGACAUUAUACAGUCUGUCAUUUAGCGAACUCACCCUCGGGUAAACAGAAUGGGGUAGCCAUUCUGGUCCGUAAGACCUGCCCUAUUC
Pelobates cultripes (western spadefoot toad) is the source of this 224-nucleotide non-coding RNA. NCBI's taxonomy places the organism in Eukaryota, Metazoa, Chordata, Amphibia, Anura, Pelobatidae. The record is from the annotation of a GenBank genome assembly.